CGGACGGGUGAGUAACGCGUGGGUAACCUGCCUUGUACUGGGGGACAACAGUUAGAAAUGACUGCUAAUACCGCAUAAGCGCACAGUAUCGCAUGAUACCGUGUGAAAAACUCCGGUGGUACAAGAUGAACCCGCGUCUGAUUAGCUAGUUGGUAAGGUAACGGCUUACCAAGGCGACGAUCAGUAGCCGGACUGAGAGGUUGACCGGCCACAUUGGGACUGAGAUACGGCCCAG
Molecule: ribosomal RNA, 235 nt
Filed under: uncultured bacterium
Lineage: Bacteria
Description: partial 16S ribosomal RNA
Rfam family: Bacterial small subunit ribosomal RNA
Source: RNAcentral